RNAcentral lists this ribosomal RNA (388 nucleotides) under uncultured bacterium. Its description in RNAcentral is "bacterial SSU rRNA". It matches the Rfam family "Bacterial small subunit ribosomal RNA", at positions 28 to 418 of the family's 1533-position model. The record is from RNAcentral.
GACGAACGCUUGCGGCGUGCCUAAGAAAUGCAAGUCGAACGGGUCGGCUCUUCGGAGCCGGCUAGUGGCGAACGGUCGCGUAACACGUAGGCAACCUGCCCUGAAGUGGGGGACAACAUCCCGAAAGGGGUGCUAAUACCGCAUGUGGCCCGGAGAUCGCAUGAUUUCCGGUCCAAAGCCUAGUGCGCUUCAGGAUGGGCUUGCGGCCUAUCAGCUUGUUGGUGGGGUAACGGCCACCAAGGCGUUGACGGGUAGCUGGUCUGAGAGGAUGGUCAGCCGGAUUGGGACUGAGAUACGGCCCAGACUCCGUACGGGGGCAGCAAUUAGGAAUCUUGCGCAAGUGGGGGAAACCCUGAUCCAGCCAUGCCGCGUGAGUGAUGAAGGCCUU